Molecule: long non-coding RNA, 530 nt
Organism: Bos taurus (domestic cattle)
Lineage: Eukaryota; Metazoa; Chordata; Mammalia; Artiodactyla; Bovidae
Source: Ensembl
CAAUAGGAAAAAAUAUUUCAAUGACGAAAGUAUUCCAGAGUCAAAUAUAAGACUCAGAAGCUGGUACAGAAGGGAUUGUCAAGUCUGGCGAUAAAAUGUUAAAAGUUUGCAUGGCACAGUAAACCAAGAUAAACAGUACUGAUUUAACCAUCCUUCUUCAGCCCUUUUGCUCUCUCUUAUAAAACAUUACAAGCCCUUCAGAAGCAAUGACAGAGGAACGGAGAUGGAGAACCUAAACCCUGUUUCCAUGGUUUGAAGGCCACUUAAUGGACCAAAGAGCAGAAUAAACAUGGCAUCAGGACCUCUCAAAGGACAAAUGUCAAGCUUUUGUCUGGAACCACAUGCCGUGGACUUGAAACAGGACUUACGGAGUCCACCUUGGGCUGGGAGGGCAGUUUCUGGAAUAACUUUUCAUGCUAAGAAGCUAAGAACUACACACAGAGAUGAAAAUCUCCCUCAAUUAAAUCCUUUCUGGGCUUGCCAUUGCUCAAAAGACAAAGUCCAAAUUCCUUGAUUUGGCAGCUGAGGCC